CCCGGUUUUCGCCUUUCACGCGAUUAAACCGUAAUUAACCUUUGAAACUGACCGGUCUAAGCUAAGGCUAAAUUAAAGACCCGUUAGGAUUCUAAUAGGUUGUUUAAACCUUCGUUCCAGAAUAGGAGACCAGUAAAAGAUACUUGCAUUUGUUUGAUUGAGGUUAUUACUUGCUCAGGUAAAUACUUUUAACUUAUUUUCCGUUAUAUGGGCUUGGGUUACGGAUUUACACGAAAUAGGCUGGCCACUCCUUAAGCAUCGUUAGAGUCUCGCAAGCUUGGGAUGCCAUAUCUGUUGAACAAUAUUUAUAUUUCUAUUUUGAUCCCCUGUGGAUUUAUUUCGACUAUUCGUGAUACUUGGAUAUUACAAUCGAUGGUUGAAAUAUAAUCUAUUUUUAUGCU
RNAcentral lists this long non-coding RNA (401 nucleotides) under Helianthus annuus (common sunflower). Its description in RNAcentral is "sRNA HanXRQr2_Chr07g0313051". The record is from RNAcentral. Lineage: Eukaryota; Viridiplantae; Streptophyta; Magnoliopsida; Asterales; Asteraceae.